CAAACUCUGAAGUGUCUGCCUUGCUAGGUCGUAUUCCAUCUGCUGUCGGUUACCAACCAACCUUGGCUACUGAUCUUGGAGGUCUUCAGGAACGUAUUACCACCACCAAGAAAGGUUCUAUCACUUCUGUUCAAGCCAUAUAUGUGCCUGCUGAUGACUUGACAGAUCCAGCUCCUGCAACAACCUUUGCUCACUUGGAUGCCACAACUGUGUUGUCCCGACAGGUAUUGUGCACAUUUGUUUUUAGCUGUUGAUGAGAUGAUCCAUCUGGUUUUACAUUUUCAUUGGUUGGUGCUUUUAGACUAUGACACUUUCUUCCUUUUUUAUGGUUAUUGUCAGAUCUCUGAGCUUGGUAUUUAUCCUGCUGUGGAUCCUUUGGAUUCUACAUCUCGUAUGCUCUCUCCUCAUAUUUUGGGUGAGGAACACUACAACACUGCUCGUGGUGUCCAGAAGGUUCUCCAAAACUACAAGAACUUGCAAGAUAUUAUUGCUAUUUUGGGGAUGGACGAGCUUAGUGAAGAUGAUAAGUUAACUGUUGCUCGUGCUCGUAAGAUCCAAAGGUUCUUGAGCCAGCCUUUCCACGUGGCAGAAGUGUUCACUGGUGCCCCUGGCAAGUAUGUGGAGUUGAAGGAGAGUAUCACCAGCUUCCAGGUACAAUUAUAUCUCUUCCUAGCUUGCUUCUAUUGCAUCAUAUUAGUGUGUUUAUGGCAUCUUAAGAGCAAGUGAUUAAUUUCUUAUGAUAGGUGGAUCCGUGGAUUGAUAUUCUUUAUUAUUAAAAUUAGUAUAGCGUUGAAAAGUAUGCAUUUUUAGUGUCUGUGUUAAUUGGUAGAUGGUAAUCUUUACAUAUAAAUCUUUGAACUGUGUGCAGGGAGUGUUGGAUGGAAAGUAUGAUGACCUGCCAGAGCAGUCAUUUUACAUGGUUGGAGGUAUUGAGGAAGUGAUUGCCAAGGCAGAUAAGAUUGCCAAGGAGUCUGCAGCUUAAUUAAUUUCAAUGUUGAUGCCUUUGUUUACUCCCCGAUAAUGUUGAAAAUAAUUAGAGGCGGUGUUGGCGUUGCCAACAACAACAGGGCUGUUCAUUUUUUGGGAUAUUUUUCCUAUUCAAGUUUUAAUGAUGUUAUUCAAGAGUGAGAAAGAGGAAUAGAACUUGGG
Molecule: long non-coding RNA, 1149 nt
Filed under: Gossypium barbadense (sea-island cotton)
Lineage: Eukaryota; Viridiplantae; Streptophyta; Magnoliopsida; Malvales; Malvaceae
Description: long non-coding RNA (GBAR_LNC015762)
Source: RNAcentral